CGUUCCGGGACCCGGCGGAGGAAGGGAAGGCCUGGCUGUCCAGCGGAAUCCGCCUGGACGCACGGAACUCGCGGACCCGACCGGAGCAGCUCUUCGGGCCCUGGCGUGAACCCUUCUCCCAGAGGCACAUGCCCAGAACCCAGCAAUGGCCAAUGGGACCUUGAUGGCCGAGGGCCAGUUAGCUUUUCUAAACCCUACCUGGAUAAGGAUAAGAAAUAGAAGGAGGGGACACUUUAGG
RNAcentral lists this long non-coding RNA (238 nucleotides) under Homo sapiens (human). Its description in RNAcentral is "HSALNT0261465". Lineage: Eukaryota; Metazoa; Chordata; Mammalia; Primates; Hominidae. The record is from RNAcentral.